This is a long non-coding RNA of Diceros bicornis minor, 427 nucleotides long. RefSeq lists it as uncharacterized. Lineage: Eukaryota; Metazoa; Chordata; Mammalia; Perissodactyla; Rhinocerotidae. The record is from RefSeq and is a predicted model, not a curated record. The transcript has 4 exons.
UGCGAACUCUAAGCCCUCCUGAUUCAAAAAAGGAAUCCUCCACUAACUCACCAACAAGAGAUGUCUUGGAGAUGAGUGGGAUAUAUCUUGAGGAAGAGAAUACCAUGCAGCAGGAACAGCAAGUACAGAGGCCCUCUAGUGGGAGCAUACGUGGUGUUUCUAGGAACAGCAAAGAAGCCAGUGCAGCUGGACCACAACAGGCUCUAUAAUCACAGUGACAUUCUGAAAGAAGACCUUGAAGCCUGUGGAACAGCUGUCCUUCACCAGCCUCCGAGACUCUUACCUGGAGGUGGCAGCCAUGAAAAGCAAGUCAGAUCUGAACAAGCGUCAGCCUCAGGCUUAUUGAGGGCACAGUUGGGUCAGCACAUGGCCACCUUGAAAGAACGUGAUAAUUCUAUCACAGAAGAGGUAGCUAAGAAGUCUGAAG